Molecule: long non-coding RNA, 1880 nt
Filed under: Nicotiana benthamiana
Lineage: Eukaryota; Viridiplantae; Streptophyta; Magnoliopsida; Solanales; Solanaceae
Description: long non-coding RNA (NBEN_LNC016544)
Source: RNAcentral
UCUAUUCACUUUUAAUCCAAUAUUACAUAAGUAUGUGAGGAAUACCUGGAUAAGAGAAAAAGCGAAGAUCAGUGAUGAAUGAAACAAAGAACAGUGACAGUAGAAACAACAAUACGCCAGUAGUGAAUCAGUGUUAAAACAGCCCAGAAAUCUCACUAAAACCAACAAUUCUCCAAGAUAAUGAACCAAGAAUCAAACUCUAAGACUCUUAUACGUUUCUGAAAGGUUUUUCACUCUAAGACUCAACAAAAAGCUCACAAAUUUCAGCUUACUCCUUAUGUAUUCAGCUGCUGAUUUUUCUCUCAAGUUUUUAUGCUUUAUUGAGUGUAAAAGAUGAUGGCUAAGUGUGUUCUUAAAAUCUGAUAAGGAACAGCCCUUAAGUAAGCAAAGAAAAUCACUUUUGGACAUCUUUUGGUUCACCAAAAGUCUAUCAAAAAGGACUCACUUUUGUUCACUGCUCAAAAAACUCACUUUUGUGUGCUAAAAGUCUGGUUAAGGACUGUCCAAAAGGAGAAGGACGGUCCUUCAACAACAUAUGGCAGAAGCAUGGGAAAGAAAAGUAUUUCAAUCACUCUAACACUAAAAUCAAGUUGCAAAUGUACCCUAAUACAUGAUUAUUCAUCUACUCUUCAGCUUUUUAAGCAAAUUGGUACCAAACCUACUUUGCACCAAACUAAAAUGAGAAACAAGUAACUAGAACUUAGUUAUACUACCACAAACAUGUAAAUAAAACCUAAAACUGAACUAUUAAUUAAUCAAGAUAACUUAAACCUAAUGACUAAAGCCAAACCAAGCAAGACACGUGUUGACAGUGAAAACAACUUAGUGAAAAAGUUUGAUUUAGGUGAAGAUGAAACUGAAAACUAGAUAGAAAGCAAACUAAAGUCAACAACUAACAGAACUUACACUACUACAAUAACUACAAUAAAGUAGUAGGCAACAGAAUAUUAGAAACCUAAAUAAAGGAUUAAGGUUCUAGUUAAAGUCCAAGAACUUUGAAACUUCAAUUAAAUAGCUCGAUGAAUUAAACGUGUAAUAACAGAAACUGCAAUUGAAGCUAAAAUUUACAAACUUGAAUCUAUAACUAAAUUCAAACCUAAGCAAAUACAUGUUAACAAUGAAAUAAACUAGCAAAAUUAAUUAUUCUGAACGACGAUAACAUUGAAAGCUAGAUAAACGCAAAGUAAAUGAUCAUGAAUAGAAUUAAAACUAAAAAACUACAAAUCAAACACAAAAGAAAACACAAAAUCAGAGACAUGGGUAAGAGGGAUUCGAGUUUUUACCACAUGAGGUGAUUUAAUUCUUACUCCAGAAAUAAGGAGGUAUCUGGGAGCACGACCAGCAGUUGUCCAACCUUGAAGCACCCAUUUCAUUCCGGAAAAUGCUGAAACAAAAGGAUUCAAGAAUUAUACCAGAAGAAAAAGAGGGUUCUUGGGUCGAAAGAAACAAAGAUAGAGAGACAGUAUGUUUGGUGGUGGUUCCCGCAGCUAGCGAGUUGCCGAAAAAAGCUCACCGGAAAACGACUACCAAAAUUCGGCUCCAAGACCAAUGCCAAAUGGUACAUCGAGUCGAGUUAUAAACCUCCAUGUAAGUGGUACGGGGUGAAGUGGCCUGAAUACUCACAAAUUUGGGAAAAUAUAAGGGGCUAAGGUUUCAGGAUUUUGCCUAUUCGUGGAGAUUCGUGAGGUUUUGGGGGUUUUGAGUAAAGGACAUGGAAAGAGGAGACAAAGAUGAGCAGAUGGUGAAAUUUUUGGGGUCUUCGGAGCUUAGACACCGCUCGUGGCGAGUUUCGGUGGGCGAUGCUGGCGGCGCGGGCGACUUAGGUCAGAGAGUGAGAGAGGGUGAGAAGAGAGAGCAAGAAAAGGAGAAUUAAGGGGGAA